Molecule: microRNA precursor, 118 nt
Filed under: Podarcis lilfordi (Lilford's wall lizard)
Lineage: Eukaryota; Metazoa; Chordata; Lepidosauria; Squamata; Lacertidae
Source: RNAcentral
AACUAAGUUUGUUAUUGGUAUGAGCUUUCAUGUGCAUGCACACUUCUUCAGAUAAGUAUACGUAUCUGAAGAAGUGUGCAUGCACAUGAAAGCUCAUACCAGUAACUAACUUAGUUGG